AUGGCGGGCGUGGGUGCCGGGACGGGGGCGUUGGGCUCUGUCAUCGUCAAGCUCGCCACCCUGCUUGGCAAGGAGUACACGAUGCUCAAGAGGGUGCGCAAGGACAUCGCCUUCCUUGAGCGCGAGCUCCGCAGGAUGCAGAACCUGGUCAACGCUCUGGCCGACAUGGAGGUGCUCGACAAGGUUGCCAAGGACUGGAAGGGCAACAUGCGGGACCUCAGCUACGACAUGGAGGAGUGCAUCGACCGGUUCAUGAUCCGCCUUGGCGAUGCCAAGCUCAGCUUCCCCAAGAAGGCUGCACGCCGGCUCAAGAAGCUGUUCGCGCGCCAUGACAUCGGCACCCAGAUCAAGGAGCUCAAGGACCGGGUCAAGGAGGAGGAAGAACGGCGGCUGAGGCUGAAUCUCGACAAGUAUGCUGCAAUUGGGCCAACGAGGCCCGUGGAGAUAGAUCCCCGGCUGGCUGCGUUCCACGGGGUGGCCAAGGGCUUGGUGGCCAUUGACGGCCCCAGGGAUCAGCUUGUCUCUUGGUUGACGGAGGAGAGCGUGGAGCUGAAGGUGGUAGCCAUUGUUGGUGGUGGGGGGCUGGGAAAGACCACCCUUGCCAUGGAGACCUCUCGCAAGAUUGGAGAGCACUUCCAGCACAGAGCUUCUGUGUCCGUGUCACGCACCCCUGAUCUCGAGAAGCUCUUGAAAGAUGUCCUUUCUCAGAUCGACAAAGAUAAAUUUAGGGAAUGCCAGUCCGAGAGAUGGGACGAAAAACAACUAAUCCGUGAAAUCCAACUGCUCUUGACAGGAAAGAGGUACUUUCUUGUUAUUGAUGAUGUAUGGAAAGAACAAGACUGGAGAUCUCUCAAAGCAGUUUUUCCUGACAAUUGUAAUGGCAGCAGAAUAAUUAUUACUACACGCAUUGCCAAUGUAGCUAAGUCAAGUUGUUCAAACUCUGGUGACCACCUCUAUCAAAUGCUACCCCUCAACAAUGUUGAUUCCCGAAGAUUGUUCCUUCGGAGAAUUUUCCACUCCGACAACUCUUGCCCUCCUCAACUACAAGAAGUCUCAACUAGGAUCCUGAGAAAAUGUGGUGGUCUGCCAUUGGCUAUAGUUACAAUUGCGAGUUUGCUGGCCAAUAAACCUCAAAACCUAGAUGAAUGGGAGAGACUCCAAGGUUCCAUUGGUACUGGUAUUUCAUAUGAGAGUGAUGAUGGAGGAAAUGGUAUGAGACAUAUAUUGUUACUUAGUUAUUGGGAUCUUCCACACCACUUGAAGACUUGUUUGUUGUACUUAUGUAUAUAUCCAGAGGACAAGUAUAUCCCGUGUGAAGAACUAAAAAGGAAAUGGCUAGCUGAAGGAUUCAUUGCUACAAAACGGGGAAACUUGUAUCAAGAAGCAGAGAGCUGUUUUAAUGAACUUGUCAAUAGAAGCUUGAUUCAGCUGGUUUAUGCAGAUCCUCAAGGUUAUGGUUUUGACCAAUACUGUCGAGUUCAUGAUAUGGUCCUUGACCUCAUAAUAUCUCUGUCAGAUGAAGAGAAUUUUGCCACUAUUUUAAACGCUGAAUGCAAUUCUUUGCCAAGCAAGAUCCAUCGAAUCUCCCUGCAAUCUAGUGGGAAUGAACAUAAAGGGGCAAUCCAAUCAAUCACAAGAAGCAAGUUACAUGUUCGCUCACUAAAUGUGUUCGGAGAAAGUAAGUAG
Molecule: ribosomal RNA, 1686 nt
Filed under: Triticum aestivum (bread wheat)
Lineage: Eukaryota; Viridiplantae; Streptophyta; Magnoliopsida; Poales; Poaceae
Description: partial small subunit ribosomal RNA
Source: RNAcentral